GCCCCCGUAGCUCAGAUGGAUAGAGCAUCGGUUUCCUAAACCGGUGGCCGCACGUUCGAAUCGUGUCGGGGGCA
This 74-nucleotide transfer RNA is filed under the name candidate division WOR-1 bacterium RIFOXYA12_FULL_36_13. Its description in RNAcentral is "tRNA-Arg". It matches the Rfam family "tRNA". From Rfam's summary of the family: Transfer RNA (tRNA) molecules are approximately 80 nucleotides in length. Their secondary structure includes four short double-helical elements and three loops (D, anti-codon, and T loops). RNAcentral also lists the same sequence under 3 other names. Lineage: Bacteria; Bacillati. The record is from RNAcentral.